UAUGGUAAUGCCAGCCGCCGCGGUAAUACGUAGGUGGCAAGCGUUGUCCGGAAUUAUUGGGCGUAAAGGGCGCGCAGGCGGUUUCUUAAGUCUGUCUUAAAAGUGCGGGGCUUAACCCCGUGAGGGGACGGAAACUGGGAGACUUGAGUAUCGGAGAGGAAAGCAGAAUUCCUAGUGUAGCGGUGAAAUGCGUAGAUAUUAGGAGGAAUACCAGUGGCGAAAGCGGCUUUCUGGACGACAACUGACGCUGAGGCGCGAAAGCCAGGGGAGCGAACGGG
RNAcentral lists this ribosomal RNA (278 nucleotides) under Caecibacter massiliensis. RNAcentral's name for it is "partial 16S ribosomal RNA". It matches the Rfam family "Bacterial small subunit ribosomal RNA", at positions 492 to 776 of the family's 1533-position model. Lineage: Bacteria; Bacillati; Bacillota; Negativicutes; Veillonellales; Veillonellaceae. The record is from RNAcentral.